RNAcentral lists this ribosomal RNA (410 nucleotides) under uncultured bacterium. RNAcentral's name for it is "bacterial SSU rRNA". It matches the Rfam family "Bacterial small subunit ribosomal RNA", at positions 355 to 775 of the family's 1533-position model. The record is from RNAcentral.
UCGAGGAUCUUCGGCAAUGGGCGCAAGCCUGACCGAGCGACGCCGCGUGGGCGAUGAAGGCCUUCGGGUUGUAAAGCCCUGUCGAGGGGGAUAAAGCCGCAAGGUUGAUUGAUCCCUGGAGGAAGCACGGGCUAAGUUCGUGCCAGCAGCCGCGGUAAGACGAACCGUGCGAACGUUGUUCGGAAUCACUGGGCUUAAAGGGCGCGUAGGCGGCGCAUCAAGUCCGGGGUGAAAGCCCCCAGCUCAACUGGGGAAGGGCCUCGGAAACGGGUGCGCUCGAGGGAGGUAGGGGCAGGGGGAACUUCUGGUGGAGCGGUGAAAUGCGUUGAUAUCAGAAGGAACGCCGGUGGCGAAAGCGCCCUGCUGGAUCUCUACUGACGCUGAGGCGCGAAAGCCAGGGGAGCAAACGG